RNAcentral lists this transfer RNA (67 nucleotides) under Marmota monax (woodchuck). RNAcentral's name for it is "tRNA.Leu". The record is from RNAcentral. Lineage: Eukaryota; Metazoa; Chordata; Mammalia; Rodentia; Sciuridae.
UGUAGUUUGGUGGUAGAGAAUGUGCCUAAUAUACAUAAGGUCCUGGGUUCAAUCCCCAGAACUGAAG